AAGACCCCUGGAAACAAAGCAGAGAGCAUGGAUGGAUACCCCACCCCAGUUUGACCUCCCUUACUACCCUAACCCAGCUCUCCUCUGGCGCAGAGUUACUGGACCAAGACUGCCUCAGGGCAGGUAGGGUCUGGAGAGGCAGAAACCACUGAAGUGGGUGACACUCAAAUAUUUAUUGAGACUCAUCAUGUGUGGAGAGUAGCACUGACCUGGGAGUAAGGAGGAUUGAGUCACUGGCAGGCUGUGGGACCCUUGUAGGGGACAUUUUUCAUUUUUGCCUGCCCAGCAUCCCCAUCCAGCUUCUGCAGCCCAAUGCACUAGGUCACCCGGGUUUCUUAGCAAAUUGUCCCACCUCUCACCAUUGAUGCCAUGUAAUAGCCUAUCACAGGCUCCUGUCUCCCCACAAAGCCUGGGCCUAUCAGCCUCUCUUCUGGAGACCUGAGACACAGAGCUGAGAAUAGGAAAAAGUGCCAGAGAAAGGUAGUUGCCAGCUCCUGCUACUGAAAGCUGGGCUCUCCUCUUUCUCCAUCACCAUUCCUAGGCCAGAUUGGUCAGUCCUCAGCAAACCUCUGAUAACUUUUUUUUUCUUUCUCUGUUUUCUUUUUCUUUUUCAUUUUUGGACAUGUUGUCAGAAUUGUUUUUCUGCCAUUUGCAACAGAAAAAACUGAACUCAUGCUCCCUGGAUAAACCCCUUCCUUAAUUUGAGCCUGUUUCCAUUCCCACAAAACAAAACAGGUUAAGCUAAUUGUGUUUACCAAACCUCAGUCAGUCUCAAAACAGUCACACAUCGUGCUUGACAUAUUCUUGUACUACCUGUGCUAUUACUACUUCAUA
Molecule: long non-coding RNA, 834 nt
Organism: Leopardus geoffroyi (Geoffroy's cat)
Lineage: Eukaryota; Metazoa; Chordata; Mammalia; Carnivora; Felidae
Exons: 2
Source: RefSeq, a predicted model, not a curated record